Molecule: long non-coding RNA, 578 nt
Organism: Daphnia magna
Lineage: Eukaryota; Metazoa; Arthropoda; Branchiopoda; Diplostraca; Daphniidae
Exons: 4
Source: RefSeq, a predicted model, not a curated record
ACAGUUGGCUGAGAAUAUUAGUUUCUCCAAGGAAUUUCACAAGUGCUUUUUGUAUAACAUAUUGGUUGGAAAUGGGAAUAGAUGAGUUAAUGCCGAGUACAGUAGGUUGGAAGUUUGGGCAGUGGAUAAUGAUGUGUUCAGAAGUAAGAGAGAUGUGGCAUGUUCGGCAUUGGGAGUCUAUUGUGUCGUCUAUUUUAGACAUGAUAGGUGACAACUUGUUAUGCCCACUGCGAAGUCUAUGGAGUUUACGGUUGAUUGGAGUUGAAAAUAUCAGAUGCCAGGGGAGGGGGCCCAUUUCUGUACGCAGCAUAGCAUUUAUCCUGUUUGAAGAGCUUUGUAUAGAGGUGAGAUUGGGAGGAUGUGUGUCCAAGUUUGGCUAGGGAGUCAGCCCUUUCAUUUCCUGCAAUACCUACGUGGCUUGGGAUCCACAGUUUAAUUAUUUGUUUCUUAGAGCUUCUUAUAUCUUCUUGUUUUUGCAGGAUCUUGUUAAUUAGAACACUUUUGGUGGAUUUUGAACCUGUAGUCAAUUGGAGGGCAGAUAGAGAGUCACAUACUACUCCGUCGUUGAAGAGCUGCGA